This 1422-nucleotide long non-coding RNA is filed under the name Sus scrofa (pig). RNAcentral's name for it is "lncRNA (ENSSSCG00070002999.1)". The record is from RNAcentral. Lineage: Eukaryota; Metazoa; Chordata; Mammalia; Artiodactyla; Suidae.
GUCAUCAAAAGUCUGUCUUGUACCAACACCCGGAGCCGUGCAUUCCUCUGGCACCAACACUCCACUGUUUUUAAAGCCGGGGCUGGGAGCUGGCAUUUACUUCGGCUCCCAAAUCAAAGGCGGCUAUUCAUUCCCGAGAGCUGCCUGGAUGUCCGUCUGCAUCCGGCCUCUUCAUUUAGAUGCUGUGCGCUGCCCCGGGAGCCGGGCUGGGUGCAGCUGAGCCGAGCCCAGCGCCGAGACUCUCUGCCCUGCUCCUCCUCCUCCUCCUCCUCCUCCUCCUCCUCCUCCUCCUCCGGCUCCUCGCGCCCUCCCCACCCCAAGGGCUCCCGCUCCGUUUGCUGCAUUCCCGGAGCAGCUGGCGGCUGCGGGCGGCCGGCGUGCGGGCGAGCCUGCCCCUGCCAGGCUGAGCGGGCAGUGCCGGGGCCACAGCGGCAACGGCCGAAGGUAGGUCCCCUGCCGGCCAGGCCGGCAACUUCUCCGCAGCGGGGGCACUGCGGGCCCCCCCUCCCCGCCCAGCAGCCGCCCACCUGCCCAACUCCUGCGGCGGCCGGUCCGGCGCUCCGCCCUCCUCCCGCUGGCGCCUCUGCGGUCGCCUUCACUUUGCUCCCACGGGACAGAGCGGCCCUUUGUACCGGCGCCGACUGCGCGGAGUUGGGCCGGCGCCUUCUCCGGCCCGUCCGCCGUCCGAGUCGGGCAUCGGACCCUCGGCGCUGGGGGCCGGUGGCGCCGAGCCCUUGCCCUGCCCUCCCCCGUCUCCCCACGACCCCUCUAGUCACCUGGGCUGGGAACGAGCCAGCAGGGAUUGGCCAGCGUCAGGAGCUGGGGGGCCAGGCGGGCAGGUGGGGCUGCGACAGGCUCCCAACUCCGGUCCAGCGGGCAGUUGGGGGCCGGGGAUGCUGCCGGCCAGGGGAGCCCCUGGCUGUGGCCCGGAGGGGGAGCAGAGGUGAGGGAGCCGCCGAGUUCUCCCAGCUCUGGCUCACUUCCCUGGGCGGCCCCCCCUCCGCCCCUCCAGAGGCCCAAGGGGGCGGCUUCUCCGCUGGCGGGGGCAGAACCCCCCUUCCUGCGGGGCCCCUGCGCGGCUGCUCCGAGGGAAAAGCGCAACAGCAAACCGAAACCAAAGCCUCCGAGAGACCCCAACACUCCCCCUUCUGCUCCCCCGCCGCCCUGGGGGAAGGUGGGGAGUGGUCCUUGGCUGCUAACUUUUUCCCGGGAGAGGGGUGCUCUGCAGAUGCAGGCCUGCCGCCCUCGCCCCUCCGGCAGCGCCGUCGAACCGCCCUGUCCCCCCUCCUGGUCCCUGUUCCUGUCUUCUGCCAGGACGGGGUCUCUGCCAGCCCGGGGGCUCAUGCGCGGCCCAGGGUGGUGUGGCGGGCACCCUCCUGGCUGGGACCUGGCGGGAGCGUCUCGUGUCCUGGGCACCGUUGA